CCCGCUGAACUUAAGCAUAUCAAUAAGCGGAGGAAAAGAAACCAACAGGGAUUGCCUCAGUAACGGCGAGUGAAGCGGCAACAGCUCAAAUUUGAAAUCUGGCUUCUUUGAAGUCCGAAUUGUAAUUUGUAGAGGAUGUUUCGGCUCUGGCUCUGGUCUAAGUUCCUUGGAACAGGACGUCAUAGAGGGUGAGAAUCCCGUAUGUGAUUGGAAGCCAGUGGCCAUGUGAAACUCCUUCGACGAGUCGAGUUGUUUGGGAAUGUAGCUCAAAAUGGGUGGUAAAUUUCAUCUAAAGCUAAAUACUGGCCAGAGACCGAUAGCGCACAAGUAGAGUGAUCGAAAGAUGAAAAGCACUUUGGAAAGAGAGUUAAACAGUACGUGAAAUUGUUGAAAGGGAAACGUUUGAAGUCAGUCGCGUCGGCCGAGACUCAACCCCGCCUUUUGGCAGGGCGCAAUUCUCGGUCGACGGGUCAGCAUCAAUUUCGAUCGUCGGAUAAAGGUCGAGGGAACGUGGCAUCCUCCGGGGUGUGUUAUAGCCCUCGGUUCCGCAUGCGACGGUCGGGAUUGAGGAACUCGGCACGCCUUCAUUGGUCGGGGCUUCGGCUCACGUUAACGUGUCUAGGAUGCUGGCGUAAUGGCUUUAAGCGACCCGUCUUGAAACACGG
Molecule: ribosomal RNA, 665 nt
Filed under: uncultured fungus
Lineage: Eukaryota; Fungi
Description: eukaryotic LSU rRNA
Rfam family: Eukaryotic large subunit ribosomal RNA
Source: RNAcentral